GACGAACGCUGGCGGCGUGCCUAAUACAUGCCAGUAGAACGCUGAAGGAGGAGCUUGCUUCUCUGGAUGAGUUGCGAACGGGUGAGUAACGCGUAGGUAACCUGCCUGGUAGCGGGGGAUAACUAUUGGAAACGAUAGCUAAUACCGCAUAAGAGUAGAUGUUGCAUGACAUUUGCUUAAAAGGUGCAAUUGCAUCACUACCAGAUGGACCUGCGUUGUAUUAGCUAGUUGGUGGGGUAACGACUUACCAAGGCGACGAUACAUAGCCGACCUGAGAGGGUGAUCGGCCACACUGGGACUGAGACACGGCCCAGACUCCUACGGGAGGCAGCAGUAGGGAAUCUUCGGCAAUGGACGGAAGUCUGACCGAGCAACGCCGCGGGAGUGAAGAAGGGUUUCGGAUCGUAAAGCUCUGUUGUAAGAGAAGAACGAGUGUGAGAGUGGAAAGUUCACACUGUGACGGUAUCUUACCAGAAAGGGACGGCUAACUACGUG
RNAcentral lists this ribosomal RNA (495 nucleotides) under uncultured bacterium. RNAcentral describes it as "partial 16S ribosomal RNA". It matches the Rfam family "Bacterial small subunit ribosomal RNA", at positions 28 to 507 of the family's 1533-position model. The record is from RNAcentral.